Long non-coding RNA from Trichomycterus rosablanca, 774 nucleotides. RefSeq lists it as uncharacterized. NCBI's taxonomy places the organism in Eukaryota, Metazoa, Chordata, Actinopteri, Siluriformes, Trichomycteridae. The record is from RefSeq and is a predicted model, not a curated record. The transcript has 4 exons.
AUUUAAUAACGUCUUUAUAGCGUCUUUAUAGCGUUUCUCUCCUAGGAUCUGCGCGUCUUCCACUGAAGGUACGACCGGCUGAUACAGAUGCUGGCGAAUCGGACUGAUGUGGGCCGAAGUGGAGCUGGCGCAGAUCGGGAUCCAGUACGUCAACUUUAUGGCCAUCGUCUUUGAGCUGGUGCUGCUGGGAAUUCUGUGAAGAGCGAGGGUGCAUCAGAUCAUCUCAUUGACGCAGUACCGGAGAUGAAAGCUCUUUCUGGACCGGCUGAUUGCUCUCAUCUAUUCGUGCGUUACGCCCAGAUGGACUGAACGGCAGUACACAGAGCGUUAUUUAUUCCAUCUUCAGACUGAGAUGCUGAGCUCCUGGAUGAAAUCUUCACUCUGGACGAGUCUUGUAUGCAGAACCUGAAGCCCUGGCUGCUGCACUGGAGACGCUUUUAUGGCGGAGCCGCCGACGGUUUCAUGAAAAGCUGGAAACAGAAGACAUCUAAAGGCCAACCGUGAUUAGAACCUUUAUUUAACUGUCAGGGAUGCAGGUCUGGUGGUUUAAGUGUUUUUAAUGUGUUCACAGUUUCUGUACCUGUGGAGGUGCAUCAGGACCCACGACAUGGGCGACGUGUGAGGAUACCACUGAUGUGGAAGCAUGUAUCGGGAUUUCAGAGAGACGUGCUGCCAUUAAGACGACGUCUUUACAUCAAGACAACGACGGAUGACUUCGUGAACCAGAUCUAAAUGUGUUAAAAGCUGAUGUUCUGUAAAAAUGUAAUAAAAAGA